RNAcentral lists this non-coding RNA (28 nucleotides) under Homo sapiens (human). The record is from RNAcentral. Lineage: Eukaryota; Metazoa; Chordata; Mammalia; Primates; Hominidae.
AAGGAUGGUUUUGUUCUCAAUUGAAACU